RNAcentral lists this ribosomal RNA (253 nucleotides) under uncultured bacterium. Its description in RNAcentral is "partial 16S ribosomal RNA". It matches the Rfam family "Bacterial small subunit ribosomal RNA", at positions 524 to 776 of the family's 1533-position model. The record is from RNAcentral.
UACAGAGGUCUCAAGCGUUGUUCGGAUUCAUUGGGCGUAAAGGGUGCGUAGGCGGCGCGGUAAGUCGGGUGUGAAAUCUCGGGGCUUAACUCCGAAACUGCAUUCGAUACUGUCGUGCUUGAGGACUGGAGAGGAGACUGGAAUUUACGGUGUAGCGGUGAAAUGCGUAGAUAUCGUAAGGAAGACCAGUGGCGAAGGCGGGUCUCUGGACAGUUCCUGACGCUGAGGCACGAAGGCCAGGGGAGCAAACGGG